Long non-coding RNA from Antechinus flavipes (yellow-footed antechinus), 5681 nucleotides. RefSeq lists it as uncharacterized. The transcript has 2 exons. NCBI's taxonomy places the organism in Eukaryota, Metazoa, Chordata, Mammalia, Dasyuromorphia, Dasyuridae. The record is from RefSeq and is a predicted model, not a curated record.
GUGUGUGUGAGUGUGUGUGUUUGGUUUUGUUUUCCCUUGGCCAGGAAAGUGAAACAUUAUCCAUUCUGGUACCUUAAUCUUCCAAGUGCCUUCCUCUAUACUCAGGAGGUCUUCAGAUUACUUGGGGAAAUGCAGCAUUAUAAAGGCACAGGGAGAGUUGAUCGCUGAAAGCACAAUUAGCCAUCCUGAGUCCUGCCUACUGAGGAUAUUGUGCAUUUUUCUACAUGAUUCAUGUUGAGCCCAUUUUAAGAUCUCACUCCAUUCCCCACUCAGGAUACCCACAAUCUGAUAAGAAACCUCCACAGCCUUUCUUUUUCCUUAGGAAAAUAAUAACUAUGUACAAAAUACCCUUCCCAUCUUCCUUUUGCCCCAGAAAUGAGAUUUUAGAUCUUCUUUAAUCUCUGAAAGUGGACAGAUAGUUCCUUCUUUUUCAUUGUUCAUAUAGGUGACAUAGGUGACAUUUACAUUAGUGAUAUAGGAAGGAUUUGCCAACCAUUAUAACCAGGUUUUCGAGGACGGCGUCCUUGGAAAUAUGUUGUGUUCAGAGUAGUUGUUUUGGACUGGACCUGCGUUUUCUGGUGAGAAAACAUCCUUUACCACUACGGUUGUGCCCCUGCUAUGCUCUUUGGUCUUAGAGAAUUUCCCGAGGAUACUUAAUCUUUACUUGACUUGCUCAGGCUCAUUCAGCCAGGAUGUGUAUUCCCUGCCAGCCUCUUAAUGCUUUUACUGGCACCAAAAUCUGUAUUUCUGCACUUACAUAGUAAAUGCUUUAAUGACCUUCCCUUUCCUCAGCUCCCCUCCCGCAACCUCCCAGGAGGCAGGAGAUCCAGAGGGGGGAUCCUGUUCCUACCUUGAGAAUUUUCCUACCAAGUCUUCCACAGGAGAAGGGCACCCACCAUUCAGCUCAUGCUAGGUCUUCAGGAUUAGGCCCUGGAGUUCAAGACUCCCCUUGCUGUGAAAUGGAUAUUGGCAGGAGAAUGGGAGUGUGUUUCCUGAACACAUGGACUACCUUUUCCUUUUCUUGGCUGCCAUUUUGUUAUGGGAAUACACAGGGAUCCAGAGACAGGCUAAGAACUAACAUUUUAAUUUUUUUUCUGGAAAGUCUCAUUGCUGGGAAACAUGCUCCUCAUCUUCUUGGAGGAAAGGUAUUUAAAUCAAGAAGGUUACUUCAGACACAAAACCAUUGGUUCCGAUACUCAGUGCCAUAGACUCAGAGAAGCAUCUUUAGUGGACAGAGCCAUACUCUUGCACUCCGUGUUUGCUGUCUCAAACACUUGCUAGCUGUGUGACUGACCCUUGGCAAGUCACUUAUCCACAACCUGCCUCAGUUUCCUCAUAUGAACUGAAUUUGAUGACUUCCAAAGUCCUUUACAGUUCUAAAUCUAUAAGUUUUAGCUUUGAGGAAACCAGCAGAAGGGACACUUUUUAUAUAAUUGCUUUCUUAGAUUAUGGAUGGCUCCUUAAAAAACAUAAAAAAAAAAAAGAUUUGUGCCUACCCCGGAGUUCCCUGCUUUGGUCCUCUUAAUUGUUUAUGUUGUAUCUGUUGGGGUUUGAAGGACCAACAAAAGGUUGGGGUUCCAGACCAGGUGUCUCAAAAGAAUUUGCAAGUUUGGCCCAAUCAAGGGGCUAAAUUUAUUAUAAUUAUAAUGCCUGUUACAGCGGGCCAAGUUCCAAAAGAAUUUAGCAAAGAUCCAGGAGCAAGAAGAUAAAUUUAUAGGAAAAAGUUAGAGAGAUGAGGCGCUUCAUGCUGAUUUUAUGGCUUCCAGGUGGAUUUGAGGAGAGGUUUGGGAAGCACCUCAUUAUUGUCUCACAAACUUUGUUAUCACUGACAGCCAGCAACGUUCGUAGAACGAUGGCACUCCUAAGGCCAGGGGACCUCAGGCUUAUUGCCACAUCCUCCCCAAAAGCUAGGGGAAGAAAUGUCUAAUUACAUUAUUUCCAAGGCCAGGCAGCUAAUACCAUCCAGUGGGAGGAACCACAAUAACAAAACCCUAAAAGUGUCCCUUGCUUUAUUUUUGGGAUAAGCCCUGUGGUGAAAGUGGAUCCCUGCGCCAGUUCUGGCCCACACCCACUUUCAGACCCUGUCGGGAGGAGGAGGUUCUGGGGCCCUGUCAGAACUUCUCACACUGGAUUUCUGGGCUCCAGCUCAAGCAGGGGAAGGGGCUGGGAAAGUUGGUUGUUCCAGCAGGACUUGGAGCCUAGUUUUGUGGGCUCUGAUGUCCCAAAAUGUUUCUUGGCCUUUGAACCUUCCGCUGGUUUUCGCUUCCUGGGUUUAUCUGACAGUAGGUCACAGGACCAAAGCCUGAUCAAUUGGGUUUUACAUUCUUAUCAAAACAGCUGGAUUUUAUUCAGACUGGCCUGGCCUGCUUUUCGGGUUCCUUCUGCACCCUGCCCGGGUUCUGGCCUAGUAGACCACUGGAUCACAGACUUAAAAGUCAGGACAAAUUCGUCCAAUAUCUUCAUUGUGCAGAGGAAGAAACUCGUGAUUUGUCCAAGAGUCUGGACCAGCUCGGUCGGUUUGGAUGGUCCCUCUAAAUAGCUAGGGGAGGGAAUUUCUGUGUCAUCCCUCUCCCCUCCAGGGCCAUUCAACUCAAUCUAAUGAGCCUUGGGUCCCCGGCUACUGACAAACUUGAGGGAGAAGUCCUGCAAAUUCUGCUCUAGUUCAGGAAAGCUUACUGGCUGUGCAGGUUAGCUGGAAGGCUUUUGUUCCUCUUCCAAUCAGAAUGUAGUUUGUCCAGUUGAGUAGGUAAUUAUUCACUGAAAGCAGGUGAUUUGUGUGUUUUUGAUGAAACAAUAGCUCAGUAAACAAAAGACAGAGUCGGCCAGUUAGUAUUUAUUAAGCACCUACUGUAUGCCAGAUCCUAUGCAGGUGAGCAUUUUGUUCCUCUUCCUAUCAGAAGUUUGUCCAGUAGUUUGUCUAGUUGAGUAGGUAAUUAUUCACUGAAAACAGGUGAUUUGUGUGUUUUUGUUGAAAGAAUAACUCAGUAAACAAAAGAGAGAGUCAGCCAGUCAGUCAAUAAGUAUUUUUUAAAUGCCUAUUGUAUGCCAGGUCCAGUCUAUAUACAUGCAAACAUUAAUAUAUAUGUAUAAAUGUUACAUACACACAUUUAUAUAACAUUUAUACAAUAUAUUUACAUACACAUGUUCAUUGUGCAUUUCUAUAUAUACCUGUAAAUGUAUACACACACAACCCUUACAAUUGUACAAUUGCAUUGAACACGUGUACGUUCACGUAUGGUUCUCACAUAUAAAUAACAUGGUAAUUAUCUGACUCAUUAAUAGCAAAUAAAAGGGAGGCUGCUGCCAUCUCUGUGACUUUGGACAAGACCCCCCUAAGGCCCCUCCUAAUUUUAAGUCUAAUCUUCUGAUCUAUGUCUUUACAGUCUGGUAUCAGUGUUGAUAUUUUGAAAAGUCAAGUGAACCUUAAGGUUUUGCCUGAUUAUUUGUAUAUGUACUUUCCAUUUAAAUGACAUAGACUGUGUGAAUCCCAGAUUCUUCACUUUAAGAAACUAACCUUCCUUUGCUCCAUUAGAGCUUGCUGCCAUCUCUCAGUCUGCUUAUUUCUUAGUUUGAGGCAUUUAAAAAUGAUGUGGAAUUAAAUCACGUUAAUUCUCAUAGUGAAGAUCAUUUAAUUAUUGUUUACUGAAGCCGAAUCCUACUCUCGGAGGUUGAUCUAUUAAAUGCAGCCUUGAUAGCAUCUGCAUGUCAAAGUUUGGUCCUUGCAGGUCUUUUCUCUUUAUCUCCUUGCAUUUUAAGCAUUAACAUUUCCAGCACACCCAGUUUGAGUCCCUGCCUUAGCUCACUGAUGAAUAUGGAGAUCUAGGCUGAGAAUUAUUGCUGGAAUAAAUAGGAGUGGAGGCUUCUGCAGGCUGGGGACGAGGAGGAUUUGAUCUUCUCUUCAGGUCCAUUUCUUUUCUCCCAGGCUUUUCUCCUUGGAUAUUUUAGCACUGAGUUAAAAAUGGCAAUUAACAGGGAUAUUAGAACCUGGCCAAAUCACUGGCCAUUACUAGAGUGACUGGUGAAACACAGUGAUGUCUUGAAUGUAAUUUGUGUUUCUUUCCUCCUCAAAUGUGACUGAAGUCUCAUGGUUCCCUAGGAAGACCAGCCUAACAGAACUUGAUAAAACUGAUGAACCUCCUGUAGCCUUGUCCGUAAACAAAAGUCUAUUUUCCUCCUUUCUUUGUGCAGGAACGAGUCCCAAAAUGCCAUCCAUGAAAUCCAAGGUUAUCCUAGGACACCUGAAGUCAUCUCAAGCAAAAUCUUUAAAAAAAAAAAAAAAAAAAAAAAAAAGACAGAAUGAAGGGGAAGCAGGAGGAAGCAUUUAUUAAAUAUCUUCUGUCUGUCAGGCACUAAUACUAGGCUCUUUAUACAUAUCAUCUCAUUUGAGAGGCAGUAUUUUUGACAUUCUUUUUUUUCCUGAGGCAUAACUUGGCAGAGUUGGGGCGGAAGAAUUUCUAUAUUGAGUAGGAAAAGCUCACUGUGAGAGGAAGUAUUUUCCUCAGUGUUUAUCUUUUGUUCUAUUAUUACAGUAUGAUUCAAACUAUUGUAAAAUUAAUAACAAGUGUGAAUUGUAGAAUCCUAAAAUACUAACCCACUUUGUUAUUGUUGCUUUUCUAGCACAUGUAUUGUCCCUUCCUGCAGAAGAUUGCCCUUUGCAGGGGGAUUUAGGCAGGCCCAUCUUGGGCCUGUAUUCUCAUAGGAAUAGCUUAUAUUUUCAAGGUGUCUUUCAUGAAUUCCACUGGUCCCCUUCCUUGCCAUAGCUUCAGCUUAUAAACUAUGAGAUCUUUUUUUUCUCCCUCCCUCUUCCUGAUGGCCAAGGGAGUGGGGCAGCCCAAUACCUCCACCUACAGAUGCUGAGUGUGAUGGAUUAAGGAUGGCCAUCGUUAAAGUGUUCAAAAGGCUCCCAAGCUCUGGUGACUUUUGAAUAUUUCAAGCUCUGAGCCUGCUUUUGUAGAGAAGAAAAAUACCUGGCUCAUUAAAGAUCAUCACUUGCUAUAGCUGAGAAUAAGGAUAUUGGAGAAAGUUACCUUAUAUUAAAGAACACUCCAGAUUUAUCCAGUCCUUUCCACCUCGUGGGUCACUUACAACAAUCCUGGAAAAUAGGCGGGUUAAGAAUGAUUAUCUUCAUUUUAGAAAUGGGGAAACUGAGGCUCAGAUUUUCCCUACAUCUCUCUCAGAUAAUAUGUGAAUAUUGGAAUACAAAUUCAUGAAUUCUCAUUCAAAGUCAGAUGCUCCUUUUACUCCACUGUCCUUAGUUAGGAUUCCCCAUCGCCAUGAUGCUUGCUUGGUGAAGAAAUGGAAAAAUGUUUUGUUUUGUUUUGUUUCUUAAUCCUGAAAUUGCUGUUUCCUCCUUUAAAAUAAUCAGCCUUGUUGAUGCAGCAGGUCUGCUCUAUGUACAUAAGCUCACACUUUUCAAACCCCCAACAGCUUGAAAUAAGCUGGCCAGGGCCUACAAUACUGAAUGGUACUCAUUUUGUUUCUAGGACAUUUCAGUUCCAAAAAAAAAAAAAAUUAAGAAGCUUGUUAGUUCAUCUGGUGACAUACCUAAUCUCAGCUAGGGGUGGAUGGAUACUGUCUUUUUUUUAAAGCUGUUAAGUAUUUAUGAUAUAAAAGAGCCAGAGCAAUGGAAAACCUGGCUCAGUUUUGAAUUACUCAAAUAAAUAAAUGCAAUUGAGUCGAAA